CUACGGAGGGUGCAAGCGUUAAUCGGAAUUACUGGGCGUAAAGCGCGCGUAGGCGGAUAUUUAAGUCUCAUGUGAAAGCCCUGGGCUCAACCUGGGAACUGCAUGGGAUACUGGGUAUCGAGAAUACAGUAGAGGGUAGUGGAAUUUCAGGUGUAGCGGUGAAAUGCGUAGAGAUCUGAAGGAACAUCAGUGGCGAAGGCGACUACCUGGACUGAUAUUGACGCUGAGGUGCGAAAGCGUGGGGAGCAAACGGGAUUAGAAACCCUAGUAGUCC
This 274-nucleotide ribosomal RNA is filed under the name uncultured bacterium. RNAcentral's name for it is "partial 16S ribosomal RNA". It matches the Rfam family "Bacterial small subunit ribosomal RNA", at positions 523 to 796 of the family's 1533-position model. The record is from RNAcentral.